RNAcentral lists this ribosomal RNA (494 nucleotides) under uncultured bacterium. RNAcentral's name for it is "bacterial SSU rRNA". It matches the Rfam family "Bacterial small subunit ribosomal RNA", at positions 28 to 480 of the family's 1533-position model. The record is from RNAcentral.
GACGAACGCUGGCGGCGUGCCUAAUACAUGCAAGUCGAACGCACUCUCGUUUAGAUUGAAGGAGCUUGCUCCUGAUUGAUAAACAUUUGAGUGAGUGGCGGACGGGUGAGUAACACGUGGGUAACCUGCCCUAAAGUGGGGGAUAACAUUUGGAAACAGAUGCUAAUACCGCAUAAAACCUAACACCGCAUGGUGUAGGGUUGAAAGAUGGUUUCGGCUAUCACUUUAGGAUGGACCCGCGGUGCAUUAGUUAGUUGGUGAGGUAAAGGCUCACCAAGACCGUGAUGCAUAGCCGACCUGAGAGGGUAAUCGGCCACACUGGGACUGAGACACGGCCCAGACUCCUACGGGAGGCAGCAGUAGGGAAUCUUUCCACAAUGGACGAAAGUCUGAUGGAGCAACGCCGCGUGAGUGAAGAAGGUUUUCGGAUCGUAAAACUCUGUUGUUGGAGAAGAAUGUAUCUGAUAGUAACUGAUCAGGUAGUGACGGUAUCC